AGGAGAAAUCCGCUGUGAGAUGGGCCCGCGUCUGAUUAGCUAGUUGGUGAGGUAAAAGCUUACCAAGGCGACGAUCAGUAGCCGAUCUGAGAGGAUGAACGGCCACACUGGAACUGAGACACGGUCCAGACUCCUACGGGAGGCAGCAGUGGGGAAUAUUGCACAAUGGGGGAAACCCUGAUGCAGCAACGCCGCGUGGAGGAUGAAGGUCUUCGGAUUGUAAACUCCUUUGAUCGGGGAUGAAAAAAAUGACAGUACCCGAAAAACAAGCCACGGCUAACUACGUGCCAGCAGCCGCGGUAAUACGUAGGUGGCAAGCGUUGUCCGGAAUUAUUGGGCGUAAAGGGCGCGUAGGCGGUUAUUUAAGUCAGUUGUGAAAACUCUGGGCUCAACCCGGAGAUUGCAGUUGAUACUGGGUAACUUGAGUGCAGGAGAGGAUAGUGGAAUUCCUAGUGUAGCGGUGAAAUGCGUAGAUAUUAGGAGGAACACCAGUGGCGAAGGCGACUUUCUGGACUGUAACUGACGCUGAGGCGCGAAAGCGUGGGGAGCAAACAGGAUUAGAUACCCUGGUAGUCCACGCCGUAAACGAUGGGUACUAGGUGUAGAGGGUCUCGACCCCUUCUGUGCCGGAGUUAACACAAUAAGUACCCCGCCUGGGGAGUACGGCCGCAAGGUUGAAACUCAAAGGAAUUGACGGGGGCCCGCACAAGCGGUGGAGCAUGUGGUUUAAUUCGACGCAACGCGAAGAACCUUACCAGGUCUUGACAUCCUCUGACAGCCCAAGAGAUUGGGUGUUCAUCCUUCGGGAUGACAGAGAGACAGGUGGUGCAUGGUUGUCGUCAGCUCGUGUCGUGAGAUGUUGGGUUAAGUCCCGCAACGAGCGCAACCCUUGUUCUUAGUUGCCAGCAAGUAAUGUUGGGCACUCUAAGGAGACUGCCGGUGAUAAACCGGAGGAAGGUGGGGAUGACGUCAAAUCAUCAUGCCCUUUAUGACCUGGGCUACACACGUGCUACAAUGGCCUGUACAAAGGGUAGCGAAGCCGCGAGGUGAAGCCAAUCCCAAAAAGCAGGUCUCAGUUCGGAUUGUAGGCUGCAACUCGCCUACAUGAAGUCGGAAUCGCUAGUAAUCGCGGGUCAGCAUACUGCGGUGAAUACGUUCCCGGGCAU
This 1166-nucleotide ribosomal RNA is filed under the name uncultured bacterium. RNAcentral's name for it is "bacterial SSU rRNA". It matches the Rfam family "Bacterial small subunit ribosomal RNA", at positions 202 to 1381 of the family's 1533-position model. The record is from RNAcentral.